Molecule: ribosomal RNA, 253 nt
Filed under: uncultured bacterium
Lineage: Bacteria
Description: partial 16S ribosomal RNA
Rfam family: Bacterial small subunit ribosomal RNA
Source: RNAcentral
CACGUAGGGGGCAAGCGUUGUCCGGAAUUAUUGGGCGUAAAGAGCGUGUAGGCGGCCAGAUAGGUCCGUUGUGAAAACUCGAGGCUCAACCUCGAGACGCCGAUGGAAACCAUUUGGCUAGAGUCCGGAAGAGGAGAGUGGAAUUCCUGGUGUAGCGGUGAAAUGCGCAGAUAUCAGGAGGAACACCCGUGGCUAAGGCGGCUCUCUAGUACGGUACUGACGCUGAGACGCGAAAGCGUGGGGAGCGAACAGG